AUUGUGUGCCCUGAAUCACUACCAUGGAGAAAUCUUUGCAUAUCCAGUUCAAAAGGACAUGGCAGAGAGAGCAAAUGUUACCUUCUUCGCAAUGGAUGUUAUCUGCAAGCUACUGGCCCUACCUAAGCAAGGUGGCUGAUAAUUUCACCGAUAUGCAGCCGUUGAUGGAAAUGAGACCAUUUCUGAGUGUCGUGCAUGCCAAAGCACACACAGCAAAAUGCGAGGUGAGAUGGGGCGGCAGGAAUCAGGAUGGAGCAGGAAAUACUGUCGGAGAGGAAGUUUAGCAAGUAUGUUAUUACUGACUUUGUAACUAUGUGGACAUAGGAGACUUCACUGAUACAUGUGAGAGUUAAGCAGAGUGUGGAGGAUAAAGUACAUCAGGAUAUCACAGCACAGCAAUGGGUGUGUGAUGUUCAACAGUGGGCAGUAACAGAGCCAGGGAGCACAACACAACAGGGAGCAACCAAGGAUCUCAGGGCUGAGAUAGAAAGUAUCAUAGUGGCCCUGCUACGCAAGAAACAGGACCUCUAUCGUCAGCAUGAUAGCAACCAGACCAGACAAAGAAAGAGAAGAAAAAUAAGAGUAUUAAAAACAAACUAAGACAAAACAUCCGGCUCUACAAUGCUACUGCAGAGGAUCCGAUUGAUGAGGAAUUGGUGUCCAAUUUGACAGAGAAGUGAGG
This is a long non-coding RNA of Carassius gibelio (silver crucian carp), 682 nucleotides long. RefSeq lists it as uncharacterized. Lineage: Eukaryota; Metazoa; Chordata; Actinopteri; Cypriniformes; Cyprinidae. The record is from RefSeq and is a predicted model, not a curated record. The transcript is spliced from 5 exons.